GGUACUAUAGCUCAGCUGGUCAGAGCGUUGGUCUGAAAAACCAAAGGUCCUUAGUUCAACUCUAAGUAGUACCA
This 74-nucleotide transfer RNA is filed under the name Aureispira anguillae. It matches the Rfam family "tRNA". From Rfam's summary of the family: Transfer RNA (tRNA) molecules are approximately 80 nucleotides in length. Their secondary structure includes four short double-helical elements and three loops (D, anti-codon, and T loops). Further hydrogen bonds mediate the characteristic L-shaped molecular structure. tRNAs have two regions of fundamental functional importance: the anti-codon, which is responsible for specific mRNA codon recognition, and the 3' end, to which the tRNAs corresponding amino acid is attached (by aminoacyl-tRNA synthetases). tRNAs cope with the degeneracy of the genetic code in two manners: having more than one tRNA (with a specific anti-codon) for a particular amino acid; and 'wobble' base-pairing, i.e. permitting non-standard base-pairing at the 3rd anti-codon position. Lineage: Bacteria; Pseudomonadati; Bacteroidota; Saprospiria; Saprospirales; Saprospiraceae. The record is from Rfam by way of RNAcentral.